RNAcentral lists this ribosomal RNA (492 nucleotides) under uncultured bacterium. Its description in RNAcentral is "partial 16S ribosomal RNA". It matches the Rfam family "Bacterial small subunit ribosomal RNA", at positions 29 to 507 of the family's 1533-position model. The record is from RNAcentral.
AUUGAACGCUGGCGGCAUGCUUUACACAUGCAAGUCGAACGGUAACAGGCCUUCGGGUGCUGACGAGUGGCGCACGGGUGAGUAAUGCAUCGGAACGUACCCAGAGGUGGGGGAUAACGCAGCGAAAGCUGUGCUAAUACCGCAUGUGAUCUGAGGAUGAAAGCGGGGGACCGAGCAGCAAUGUUUGGCCUCGCGCCUUUGGAGCGGCCGAUGUCGGAUUAGCUAGUUGGUGGGGUAAAGGCCUACCAAGGCGACGAUCCGUAGCUGGUCUGAGAGGACGAACAGCCACACUGGGACUGAGACACGGCCCAGACUCCUACGGGAGGCAGCAGUGGGGAAUUUUGGACAAUGGGCGCAAGCCUGAUCCAGCAAUGCCGCGUGCGGGAAGAAGGCCUUCGGGUUGUAAACCGCUUUUGGCAGGAACGAAACGGUGUCCGCUAAUACCGGGCGCUAAUGACGGUACCUGCAGAAUAAGCACCGGCUAACUACGUG